This is a long non-coding RNA of Hermetia illucens (black soldier fly), 548 nucleotides long. RefSeq lists it as uncharacterized. NCBI's taxonomy places the organism in Eukaryota, Metazoa, Arthropoda, Insecta, Diptera, Stratiomyidae. The record is from RefSeq and is a predicted model, not a curated record. The transcript has 3 exons.
GUCCCUUUAAUGACAUUAAUUACGCUCAAGUUCUGUUUCUUAACUAAGCAAAGUCAAAAUUUUAUUCUUUAUUAAAAAUGAGCAAAAAAUAGGACAGUAAUUAGGACAGUGCAACGAUAUAGGACGAAAUAGGAGUUCAUUCAGUCGAAGCGAUAAAUUUACCCAUUUUUAAUUUUGGCUGAGAGAAAAAACGUGGGCCGAAAACGUCACAGGAUGUCAGUGGAGGGAUAACUUAAAGGGUAUUAAAUUGCAUUUUAAUUAGGAAAUUACGGUAGAAAAUGUGCAGGUGAAAGAAGAAUGGAUGGAUGGGAAUUGGAAAUGUUAGUACAACAGAAUUUUCUUGUACAUUGAACCAAUUCACUGAGGAAAUCGCAUGAUGUCUGCUACAUAAGCUGUAAUGAGACCUGACCUGAACAGCGCAAUUUAUCUGAAAAUUUCUCCAUGUUUCAUAAAAAACGGGGCAAUUUAAUUUUACUCUGAUAUUCUAAGCUUUAAAAUUUCUUGAAAGCCACCUAUAAGUACCGUUGAUAAUAAUCUGAACCACAAAA